AUUGCAAUUGCCGAGGAUACCCCU
RNAcentral lists this non-coding RNA (24 nucleotides) under Gossypium hirsutum (cotton). The record is from RNAcentral. Lineage: Eukaryota; Viridiplantae; Streptophyta; Magnoliopsida; Malvales; Malvaceae.